GAUGAAGAACGUAGCGAAAUGCGAUAAGUAAUGUGAAUUGCAGAAUUCAGUGAAUCAUCGAAUCUUUGAACGCACAUUGCGCCCGCCAGUAUUCUAGCGGGCAUGCCUGUUCGAGCGUCAUUUCAACCCUCAAGCACAGCUUGGUGUUGGGACUCGCGUUAAUUCGCGUUCCCCAAAUUGAUUGGCGGUCACGUCGAGCUUCCAUAGCGUAGUAGUAAAACCCUCGUUACUGGUAAUCGUCGCGGCCACGCCGUUAAACCCCAACUUCUGAAUGUUGACCUCGGAUCAGGUAGGAAUACCCGCUGAACUUAAGCAUAUCAAUAAGCGGAGGA
This 332-nucleotide unclassified non-coding RNA is filed under the name soil metagenome. RNAcentral describes it as "partial contains 5.8S ribosomal RNA, internal transcribed spacer 2, and large subunit ribosomal RNA". The stretch from base 1 to 120 matches the Rfam family "5.8S ribosomal RNA", at positions 35 to 154 of the family's 154-position model. The record is from RNAcentral.